Molecule: ribosomal RNA, 484 nt
Filed under: uncultured bacterium
Lineage: Bacteria
Description: partial 16S ribosomal RNA
Rfam family: Bacterial small subunit ribosomal RNA
Source: RNAcentral
AUUGAACGCUGGCGGCAGGCCUAACACAUGCAAGUCGAGCGGAGGAAGGGAGCUUGCUCCUGGAUUCAGCGGCGGACGGGUGAGUAAUGCCUAGGAAUCUGCCUGGUAGUGGGGGAUAACGUCCGGAAACGGGCGCUAAUACCGCAUACGUCCUGAGGGAGAAAGUGGGGGAUCUUCGGACCUCACGCUAUCAGAUGAGCCUAGGUCGGAUUAGCUAGUUGGUGGGGUAAAGGCCUACCAAGGCGACGAUCCGUAACUGGUCUGAGAGGAUGAUCAGUCACACUGGAACUGAGACACGGUCCAGACUCCUACGGGAGGCAGCAGUGGGGAAUAUUGGACAAUGGGCGAAAGCCUGAUCCAGCCAUGCCGCGUGUGUGAAGAAGGUCUUCGGAUUUUAAAGCACUUUAAGUUGGGAGGAAGGGCAGUAAGUUAAUACCUUGCUGUUUUGACGUUACCAACAGAAUAAGCACCGGCUAACUUCGUG